GUUCAGAUUCCAUCGAAUCUGCAUGAAAGAGUUCGUGUAGCGAUUGAAAAAAUAAUACCCUGCAAGCCAAUCGCAUAUGGAAUGCGAUAGAGUGCUUAUUGUAAUUUAUCUUUCAAACUCAUAUAAUUGAUAUUUAUUAUUAAUAAAAUAGAUAUUUUUGAUUUAUUAUAUACUGUAUCUUAUUAAUUUUAAGAUUAUAAUGAAUCCCAUAGGUC
Molecule: long non-coding RNA, 215 nt
Filed under: Elaeis guineensis (African oil palm)
Lineage: Eukaryota; Viridiplantae; Streptophyta; Magnoliopsida; Arecales; Arecaceae
Description: long non-coding RNA (EGUI_LNC053495)
Source: RNAcentral